CGGAGCUGAAGGCUCUGCCGUGGGAAGGGAGCGCCGCAAAUAGCGGUCGUUUCAAGGAGACCGGAGAGCAGCGAUGUCCCGGGCACAAUGCCUAUGUUAUAUAGGCAAGCUGAAGCUGGAAUGGAAAAAGAAAGUUCCUACUGCAAAAGCAGCAAAGCUGGAAUGUGCUCUGAAGACUCAAGAUUGCUUUUCAGCUCUGUAGGUGUGAAUGGGAGAUGCUCCUGUCAGGGCAAUCAAGGAUGGCCAUUUCUAAUGAAGACAAAUUAUCUCCUUCAAAGGAGCGGCGAGCCUUGAUUUGGCUUAAUGGCUCACUAGUACGAAGCACGGAUUUAAUCAGAGCUCCAGCUUCUGUCACGCAUGGGCCUUGAAGACAGGUAAUUGGAGGCAGGUGCUAAGUACAAUUUAAAUGAAAUGUCUAGUUAAUAAGGAUAGUUUGAAACUAGUAACUUCUCCCCCUCCCCCAGCCCUAGCCCUUUCAGGGACAUGGAAGCAGCUAGAUGUGCUUAGGCUAAAUUUCUCAGCAUUGCCUUCCUCACUUCCAGCACUGUGCAGCUAUUUUGAGUUUGCUAGAUGUCCCAGUUGAAGUGAUCUUCUUCCAGAUAAGAUGUUCAAUCGAGGGAUUGUGAGUGUUCAGAAUGCUUUCUUUUGUGC
RNAcentral lists this long non-coding RNA (651 nucleotides) under Pavo cristatus (Indian peafowl). RNAcentral describes it as "lncRNA (ENSPSTG00000017446.1)". Lineage: Eukaryota; Metazoa; Chordata; Aves; Galliformes; Phasianidae. The record is from RNAcentral.